RNAcentral lists this microRNA precursor (100 nucleotides) under Marmota monax (woodchuck). The record is from RNAcentral. Lineage: Eukaryota; Metazoa; Chordata; Mammalia; Rodentia; Sciuridae.
CAUGAAGACUGGAUCAUAUGGUAAGAGUAUAUUUAGUUUUGUAAGAAAUUGCAAAACUGUCUUCCAAAAUGGCUAUACCAUUUUGCAUUUCCACAGCAAC